RNAcentral lists this small RNA (264 nucleotides) under Colobus angolensis palliatus. Its description in RNAcentral is "Metazoan signal recognition particle RNA (ENSCANG00000008579.1)". The record is from RNAcentral. Lineage: Eukaryota; Metazoa; Chordata; Mammalia; Primates; Cercopithecidae.
GCUGGGCACAAUGGCUCAUGCCUGUAAUCCCAGCAUUUUGGGAGGCUGAGGCAGGAGGAUCACUUGAGGCCAGGAGUUUGAGAUCAGUCUGAAUAACAUAGUGAGACCCCGUUUCCACAAAAGAAAAAAGUUGUUUUUUUUUUUAAUUAGCUGGGCAUGGUGGCACAUGCCUGUAGUCCCAAUACUCAGUAAGCUGAGGCAGGAGUAUCACUUGAGCCCAGGAGUUCAAGAAUAGCCUGGGCAACAUAGUGAGAUCUUGUCUCU